RNAcentral lists this ribosomal RNA (501 nucleotides) under uncultured bacterium. RNAcentral's name for it is "partial 16S ribosomal RNA". It matches the Rfam family "Bacterial small subunit ribosomal RNA", at positions 28 to 507 of the family's 1533-position model. The record is from RNAcentral.
GACGAACGCUGGCGGCGUGCCUAAUACAUGCAAGUCGAGCGGACCGGAUUGGGGCUUGCCUUGAUUCGGUCAGCGGCGGACGGGUGAGUAACACGUGGGCAACCUGCCCGCAAGACCGGGAUAACUCCGGGAAACCGGAGCUAAUACCGGAUAACACCGAAGACCGCAUGGUCUUCGGUUGAAAGGCGGCCUUUGGGCUGUCACUUGCGGAUGGGCCCGCGGCGCAUUAGCUAGUUGGUGAGGUAACGGCUCACCAAGGCGACGAUGCGUAGCCGGCCUGAGAGGGUGACCGGCCACACUGGGACUGAGACACGGCCCAGACUCCUACGGGAGGCAGCAGUAGGGAAUCUUCCGCAAUGGGCGAAAGCCUGUCGGAGCGACGCCGCGUGAGCGAAGAAGGCCUUCGGGUCGUAAAGCUCUGUUGUGAGGGACGAAGGAGCGUCGUUCGAAGAGGGCGGCGCGGUGACGGUACCUCACGAGAAAGCCCCGGCUAACUACGUG